RNAcentral lists this ribosomal RNA (1310 nucleotides) under uncultured Sphingomonas sp. RNAcentral's name for it is "bacterial SSU rRNA". It matches the Rfam family "Bacterial small subunit ribosomal RNA", at positions 27 to 1382 of the family's 1533-position model. The record is from RNAcentral. Lineage: Bacteria; Pseudomonadati; Pseudomonadota; Alphaproteobacteria; Sphingomonadales; Sphingomonadaceae.
GAACGAACGCUGGCGGCAUGCCUAACACAUGCAAGUCGAACGAAGGCUUCGGCCUUAGUGGCGCACGGGUGCGUAACGCGUGGGAAUCUGCCCUUGGGUUCGGAAUAACAGUGAGAAAUUACUGCUAAUACCGGAUGAUGACUUCGGUCCAAAGAUUUAUCGCCCAAGGAUGAGCCCGCGUAAGAUUAGCUAGUUGGUGAGGUAAAGGCUCACCAAGGCGACGAUCUUUAGCUGGUCUGAGAGGAUGAUCAGCCACACUGGGACUGAGACACGGCCCAGACUCCUACGGGAGGCAGCAGUGGGGAAUAUUGGACAAUGGGCGAAAGCCUGAUCCAGCAAUGCCGCGUGAGUGAUGAAGGCCUUAGGGUUGUAAAGCUCUUUUACCAGGGAUGAUAAUGACAGUACCUGGAGAAUAAGCUCCGGCUAACUCCGUGCCAGCAGCCGCGGUAAUACGGAGGGAGCUAGCGUUGUUCGGAAUUACUGGGCGUAAAGCGCACGUAGGCGGCCAUUCAAGUCAGAGGUGAAAGCCCGGGGCUCAACCCCGGAACUGCCUUUGAAACUAGAUGGCUUGAAUCUUGGAGAGGCGAGUGGAAUUCCGAGUGUAGAGGUGAAAUUCGUAGAUAUUCGGAAGAACACCAGUGGCGAAGCGACUCGCUGGACAAGUAUUGACGCUGAGGUGCGAAAGCGUGGGGAUCAAACAUACUCUGAUACUCUCAUAGUCCUCUCCGUAAUUGAAGAUAUCUAGCUGUCCAGGCUCAUGGAACUUGGAUGGCGCAGCUAUCGCAUCAAGUUAUCAGCGUCGCGAGUACGGUCGCAAGAUUCAAAAUCAAAGGAAUUGACGGGGUCCUGCACAAGCGGUGGAGCAUGUGGCUUAAUUCGAAGCAACGCGCAGAACCUUACCAGCGUUUGACUCAUCUAGUAUGUUUCCCAGAGACGGGUUACUUCAGUUCGUCAGGCUAGAACACAGGUGGGACAUGGCUGUCGUCAGCUGUUGUCGUGUGAUGUUGGGUUAAGUCCCGCAACGAGCGCAACCCUUGUCAGUAGUUGCCAUCAUGAUCAUGGGCACUGUAAAGAAACCGCCGGUGAUAAGCCGGAGGAAGGUGGGGAUGACGUCAAGUCCUCAUGGCCCUUACAAUCCUGGGCUACACACUUGCUGCAAUGGCGUCGUCAUUGAGCAGCUACAUCGAGAGAUCAUGGUAAUUUCAAAAACCAGUGUCGGUUCGCAUGGUUUUCGCCAACUUGAGAGCAUGAAGGCGGAAUCGUUAGUAAUCGCGGAUCAGCAUGCCACGGCGAAUACGUUCCCAGGCCUC